RNAcentral lists this long non-coding RNA (13296 nucleotides) under Gossypium barbadense (sea-island cotton). Its description in RNAcentral is "long non-coding RNA (GBAR_LNC001210)". The record is from RNAcentral. Lineage: Eukaryota; Viridiplantae; Streptophyta; Magnoliopsida; Malvales; Malvaceae.
UUUGCUCUAUUCUCAUUACACGACAAUGAGCAAAGAGGGGCAGCUGUAAUGGCUGAUUUUUUGCCGGGGCCCAUACAAAAACCAAAAAACAAAAUAAACCAAAAUUAAAGUCCAAUGUCCAUAAUACCCAAGCCCAAAAUCCAAAAUAACAAGACCCAACAAAAUACGGCCCAAAUGACCCAAAAAAAACCCCCAAACCCUAGCCUGCUGCCUACUGCAGACACCAGCAGCUUCCGCCCAGCCUCCAUGCUCCACAACGGCCUCCACGCUCACGAACGGUUUCCCCACGCCAUGCACACCUACAACAAACGAAAACCACAACAGCAAAUGACGGCAAACCGAAUUACAGCAAUCAAAUAGAGGAGAAAAAUGGAAAAAUUGUAAAUAUUAUAUUUCAUUUUUGGCUAUAAAAAGCCAUUGUAAAUAUUGAUUUUGAGGAUACACGGAUUGAAAAAAAAACAAUUAGAAUUGAAAAGGUGAUUCAAGUUUUCAGUUUUUUUUUUGUUUUCAGAUUUCGUUUUUUUAAUAUUUUUUCUCUUCUAUUCUUUUCUCUCAUAUUUCACAUGAAGAGAAUAAAGGAAAAGAGUACUUGCCUUUGGCCUUUGAUCGCAUCUCUUUUGCUCAUGGUCGGCCACCAAGUUUGAUGGUGGUUCAGCAGUGACUUUGAGAGCCCUAACAUUAGAGAUUUGAUUUGCUGUUUGCAAAAAUGGCAGUGCCAUUCAUUUUUUUUUCUUUAAUUUUGAUUGCAAAGAAACAACACCGUUUCAAGGGGAAAUGUUUGGUUAUUUGCUGCAGAUGGUUAAUUUAUGCGAUUAAUCCCUCCCCUUCGCGUUGAUUUUCAAUUGGAUCCUAUUUGUGUUUUAUUUGUUUUUUAAAUUUUUCCUAAAAUCUGUGUGCUAUUUUAAUUUAGCCCGCGUUUAAGCUUUAUGUUUUCGGACCAGGAUUAUUCCCAACUUUAGUCCCUUAGCAUUUACGCGCAUUAUGCAUUAGCCCUCUGUUUAAUUUCAAAAUUUAUAAAUUAUCCCCUUUCAUUUUAAAUUUAUUUCAAUUAGGAUUUUUGUUUAUAUGAUUUAUUAUUUUUGAGGAGACUCAUUUAAUAUAUUUUUUAUGUGUCAGAAUUGUUUUAAUAAUUUUUAUUUUUGUUUAAAUAAAUCUUUGUUUUGAAAUCUUUAUACUAUUUUACAGUACGUAUAGAAUUUGAUUUAAAUAUUCAUGUUGAGCUUUCUAUUUGAAAUGCUUAUUAUUUUAAAAUUUACUUAAUAUUCUUAUAUAUGUGUUAAUUUAAAAAAAAAGAAAUAAUUUUGUUUUAUUUUUAUUUGUACAGUUAUUUUGGAGUUGAUUUUAUUAUAUUAUUUUUAACAUUUUUUUAUAAUUUUUCGACUAAAUAUUUCCGGAUAUGUUUGUACAUAUAUUAUUUUAAUGGGCUUUUUUUUAUUUUAAAAUACUUAUUGUUUUAAAAUUCAUUAAAUUAUGUGUGUAAAGUUACUUGGGAGCUGCAUUUUUUUUUGUGUUAAUAAAAUUAUUAUUUUGAAAUUCCUCAUUAUGUCAUAUUAUUUUAAUAUAUUAUGUAGUAUCUUAUUUUAAGUGUUUUUAUGUAUAACGGUACGUAUAUAAUUUAUAGAUUAACUUAAUUUUAUAUAUAUUAUUAAUCUCAUGCUAUUUUUUACAAACAAUUAUUCCUAAAUCUAUUUAUGUAUGCAUGUUUUUUUAAUCACUAUACCUUAUCAUGUAUUUUUAUUAUUCUUUCAUAUUUUAUAUAUUAUUUAAGUUAUCAUGUACAUAGUCAAUUUUUGAAUGAAUUUGUGUUUAAAAUAGUUUGCAUAUAAUUCAAUUCAAACUUUUAUUCUAUAAUAUCUAUUUCAAUAAUUAUAUAUCCCUAGUCUUUGUGCAAAUUUGUCAACUUAUCUAUUAUAUAUAUUAUGUAUUCAUUAAUUCAUCAUUAUUUUGAAAAUGUCUUAUACCACAAUUGACUUCUAAUUUCCAUUUUAUUUUGUACAUGUUUUGUGGAUCGUUUCAUAUUGUGCCAUAUUUAUUGUUGUUGUAUAUUAUUUAGUCAUUGUUUUAUCAAUUUUUCUCCAUCCAUUAUUAAGAAUUUGGUUACAUUUCACUUAGAAUAAUUGUACUUAAUUGUUGGAUUUAUUAGUUGUGAUUUAUUGUACUUUAUGUGUGCACAUUAUUUCGUGUUUAUUCAUUUCUUUUUACGAAUGUUUUCUUGUAAUACCUCAAAUGUUCCAUCUCAUUUUAAAACAAAUAAAUGUGUUUUGAGCGAAUUUUCAAUUUUCCUUAUUAUUCAAAAAUUCUGAAAUAAGGCAAUAUCCAAUAUUUGGGUAUUUGAGAAAUCGUGCUCAAUCGUGCUGGGUAUGAUUUUUUCGGUGAACUAAAUAUUUGGAUAACCUUUUAUAAUUUUAGUGUACGAGUUUUUGAAAGUCAAAAGUCGAUCGUAUUUUUGAAGGUAUAAAGGAUCGUAUCCAAUCAUGCUGGGUAUGAUGCUGCAUAUCUUUGAAAUGAGAGAAUUUUGACAGUUAACUUGAACUAUUCACACAUUUUAAAGAAUCAUGCUUUGAAAGAUCUUUUUUCUUAAAAUCUUUGAUAUAAGGAUAGCAUCGAAUCAAUUUGGUACCAAUUUUUGGGCGUAAUGAGGCUGCUUAUCCUUCCUCAUGAAUAACCGACUCCCGAACCCAUUUGUUUUUUAUUUUACGUGAACCAAAAUUGUCUUUAAUGGAACAAAACAUUUUAAUAGGUGGCCCAAUCACACCUAAACCGACAGACUGGUGGCGACUCCACAUUUUUGUUUUAAAAAGUCGAUUCUCAUUUUUCCUAACUCUAAAAAAGGGGUUCGACAGCUUGGCGACUCCACUGGGGAUUGAACAAAGAGGGUCAGGCCAUAAAAUUGAUUAUUUGUUUUCCUUUUGUCAAAGAAUUGAAAUUUUGUCUUGAAAAUCAUGAUUCUUUUAAUUGCAUUUGUUUGCAUGAUUAUUGUGGUUCGAGUCUUGUAAAAUAAUAUGACAUUACAUUGCAUGACCUCUGUGGUUAUACCUGUUAAGUGGGAGUAAGAAACUAUGCUUUUGUGAGGUUUUCACCUCCGCAUGAGCUAGUGGAUUGCUUCCGGGAUACAUCCGUACCUAUGAUUUCGUAAGGUUUUUAUCUCUGCAUGGUCAUAGGGAAAUGUAUUCCCCUGAACCGAACUCGAUUCAUAUGAGCCUAUAAUGGGUAAGAAUUGAGGAAUCUGCUAGUUCAGGUACCCUUUCUCUAAAACCAAACCACAUAUAGUGAAUCUUGAGAAUCCACCUUAAGUAGAACCUUGCCCAAAUUUAGUGGUCACCCAAAUAGGUACUUUAUUUGAUAUUUAUUUCACUUGUACUAACGUGUUUUGUUUUUUUUUUGUUUAUAACUGCAUUGCAUUACAUCAUCAUAGAAAGCAGGUGUUGAUUCAUAUUUGAUUGCUAAAUAGAAUAGUUUGUCAUAAGAAAAUGAAUUUCCUGAUAAAGUGGAUUAUAAUACGGUUGUCUAAAUAGACGGAAGAAGGCUGACAGUUCGUGGAGAAAAACAAGUCUCUACUUGAAGAUUCAAGCUGAUAAAGAUUGUUUGAAAGCCGUCGCGUCUCGAUUUUCUUAACAGAGCUAAUCAAUGUCAUGAGGAUAAUAAGUCGUGGCCUGGAUCAAGCAAAGAAGGGCUAGUGGAGGCAUUUAUUGGAGGCUUGCGAGAUUUGGAUUUCACGAAGAAAAGGGAUUGGUGUUUUCACCUGGAAUAUGAAAGCAAUGCCGUAUAUGUAAUCUGUUUUAUGUAAAGGAAUUUGUUUUCUAGAAAAGUUGUUCUAAUGGAAUUAAAUUCAAAAUCAACACCUCUCUUUCUUUUGCAUUCAUCCCAUGCAUUUGCAUUGCAUUGCAUCAUUUCAUCAUUUGCAUUAAAUUUUCAUAAAAGGGGUCCCUAAUUAGUUGAAAUCAUUUCAGUUAAUCUGGGAACCAAUAAAAACUUACCAAUCAAGCGUCGUUACGGUACCUGUGCUAAGACAAAAGAUAUGGAUCAAAGGUUGAAAAGACUUGAACAACUUCAAAGAGAGAUGCAAGACCAGUUACAAAUACAGAUGCAAGAGCAAGUGGCGAAGAUUAGGCAAGAUAUGAGGGAUCUGGUGCUAGAGUCUCAAAGGAAUAUGUUGAACCAGUUGUCUCAAUUGCUGACAAAGGGGCUUGAAGAAAGGAAAAGUUUCAUGAUCAAUAUUGGGAAGGACAAUGAGGAGCCUCUCUAUUCUCCGGGUUUCACCCCGAUAAAUACUCAGCCGCAAGGUGUACCUAUUGUCAAAAUUCAGCAAUAUCAGGCCGGUACCUCUGCACUGGUAGAUUACCCGACAGGCUCAGACUCCAAGCCGGGGGGCAACCCAACCAAUCUUGAAGUUCUUGAUUUAGAUGAAAUGGAAAAAGCAGAGAGGGAAUUGCCAAGACAACUUGAGGAUCGGUAUAGGUGGUUGGAGGAAAAAUUGAAAGCAAUGGAGAAUGUUGACCUCUACUAUGGGAUUGAUGCUAAGGAUCUGAGUUUGGUUCCCGAUCUAGUACUCCCACCAAAAUUUAAAACUCCAGAGUUUGAAAAGUACAAUGGUGUAAUACCCCCUACCCGUAUUCAUUGCCGGAAUACGGUACGAGGUAUUACCGGAGUUUACGAAUUUAUUUAUUUAUUUUUUUAGGAAAACUCAAUAUAAUCCCUUUACAGAUAUCUAACCUUCCCUGCAAUAUUAUAUCGAGACCAAUCCAAAUCAACCAAUCCAAUUCAACAUAUUUUCAAGAUAAAUUCAUGCAUAUUUAUAAAAUAACGUCAUCACAUACCCAAAACCAGGUUUGUUAACCAUACCAAUGGCUAACUCUACAUUCAUUUCACAGAAUCAUUUACUUUAUUAGCUUAUACAUGCCACUGAUUUGCAAAAUAAAGUUUCUUUAUAUACCGAAGUCCUGAGGUUGAUAGUGUGAUGUGUCUCUGACCAAAUCCGACCUCCGAGCUCUUAACACCACAAAACAGGGAAAAAGGAAACGGGGUAAGCACUUUGUGCUUAGUAAGCUCAUGUAACAAGAAUUAUACUUACCUAAUAUUUUCAAUACAAUACAAUAAACAUUCCUAUAUCCAUUCAAUCCAUUAUUAUCCUAAUAUGCACAAUCCAACAUUCAAGUUAGUACAAUAAUUUCCAUGUACCAAUAAUAUAUACUAUGAUUGAUGUGCUCAUCAAUACCAUGAUUUCCAUUUCCUUGUUAUUUUUCCAUAUUUAUCCCAUUGAAUUUCUUGGAAUUUUCGAUGGAUUUUCAGAGAUACACUUUUAGUGUACAUUUCCGGGUCCGUUAAUUCAUAUUCAUGUGCGCACAUAUCCAUUUCAGAGAGCACACUCCUGCGAACCUCAACCGUGCAGCGGGAUUACCAGUCCAGGCUAAAUCCCCUGCAAUAUAAACUCAUAGAGUGUUGUCGGGAUUACCAGUCCAGUCUAAAUCCCCUGCAACGACAAUUACUCUAAUGAGCUUGGAUCUGAAUUACCAGUCCAGGCUAAAUUCAGACCCCAAUUCGGAUUACCCGUCCAGGCUAAAUCCAUUUUACACAUAUUCUUCUGGAGGGCUAUAUCAGGAUAGGAUCACCCAUCCGGGCUAGAUCCUUUUUACCGUCAAUUCCUUUUCAGAGAUCCAUCGAAUUUUCCUUUCAUUCAACCGGGAUUUCUUCUCCUUUUAUCAAAUAUAUCAAUGUUUCAUAAAUUUUCAUACAAUGAACAUUCAAAUCAUACUCACAUAAAUAACAUACAAUCUCAAGCAUUUAAGAAUAUAAUUCAAGUUACAUGAACUUACCUUGAUACUUGUUUGUAAACAAAAAAAAAUCUACUAAUCUCGAACUUUUUCCUUUCCUCGAUCUAGCUUCGUAUUUGAAUCUUCUGGAUCUAAGUAAAUAAAUUUAAUUAUCAAUUUAAUACAUUUCAUGUUCAUAUGCAACAUUCUCUAUAAUUCAACUAUUAUUUAUAGUUCAUUCAAAGCUGUCUACUUGAGUCAUAGUCACUAAAUUAUUUUUAUCUUGAGAUACAGAACUCAAAAUUAGGAUCCGAUAAUUUUCCCUGAAACUAGACUCAUAUAUAUUCUUACCAUAAAAUUUUCAGAAUUUUUUGUUUAUCCAAUCAGUACAGUUUAUUCUUUAAAGUCACCCCUGUUCUGCUGUCGACAGUUCUGACCCUUCUUCACUAAAAAUUAAUUAUCUCUUCAUAAAGAAUUCAAAUGAUGUUAUCAUUUGUUUCUAUUAAAAAUAGACUCAUUAAGGAUUCUGUACAUAUAAAUUUAAGUCCCUAAUUGUUUUUCUUCAAUUUUUUAUGAAUUUUCAAAGUCAGAAUAGGGGAACCCGAAUUCAUUCUGCCUUGUCUCACAAAAUUUAUUAUAUCUAAAAAUUUACAAAUCCAUUGCUUAUAAUAUUUCUUGUAUGAGAAACUAGACUCAAUAAGCUUUAAUUAAAUAUUUUUUUCAUAUUCUAAUUCGAAUUUAUGGUGAUUUUUCAAAGUUAGUCUACUGCUGCUGUCCAAACUGUUUUUGUGCAAGCUGUUUAUUACCAUUUUUUCCCUAAGCUUUUAAUAAAUGAUAAUUUCGUCCCUACUCAAUUAGCCUCUCAAUUGAACUGAUUUUUCUCAAUUAAUAUUUUAUUCUAUCACCUUAAACUAGUUUACAACCUUUAGGAAUCAGAAUUUCAGCAAUAGACUUUAAUUCCAAGUAUUUUCACAAUUAGGUCCUAAAAAUCAAUUUCUAUUGAAAUUACCUAAUAAAAUCAUCUCAUAAACAAAUUAAAGCUUUAAUUUCAUUCUAUUUCAUCAUAAAAUUACAGAAAUCAACCAUGGUGGCUUUCAAUUUCAUCCAUGAAAUCAAAAACUAAUGAAUUUAAUAGUAUGACCUAGUUGUAAAGGUCUUAGAAACACAAAAAUUACAAGAAAAAGUCAAGGAUUAACUCACUUGGUGCAAAAAUUAUGAAAUACCAGCUUAUAGAACCGUCCUAUGGUGUUUUUAGCUGCUGGAAUUGAAGAGAAAUGAAGAGAAAUCUAGAUAUUUCCUAUUUAGUCCUAGCUUUAUUUAGUUAAUUUUGCAAUAUUCCAAUUUUACCCUUAAUUUAUCAAUUUUUCUGCUGAUUUCAUACCCUUGCCGUCCAGCCCAAAUAACUUUUGGGUCUAAUUCCCUUUUAAAUCCUUUCUCAUUAGACUCUUAAGCUAUUUAAUCAUUCUAGCAACUUUUACACCUAUUACAAUUUAGUCCUUUUCAUUUAAUUGACUACCCAAACAUUAAAAUUUCCUAACGAAAUUUUAGUACCACACUAAUAAAAUUUCAUAAAUAUUUAUAAAAUUAUAUUCGACUCGGUUUUACAAGAUAGAGGUCCCAACAUAUUGUUUUUACCCAAUUUCUUCAAUAAUUUCUUUUUCUAACUAACCACUAAAUCGGUAAAAUUUUUCUAUCAAUAUUUUCAUACGAUUUUCCUAUCAUAUCAAUUUUCGUGCAAAAAUAUUGAAAUAAAUUUCUCUUUAAAUCGGAUUUGUGGUUACGAAACCACUAUUCUAAUAACCUUGAAUUUAGGCCAUUACAAAUGGGACUAGUUGUCCUGAAGCUCACGUCACAAUGUUCUGUCGAAGGAUGACAGGAUAUGUUAAUAAUGACCAACUAUUAAUCCAUUGCUUCCAAGACAGUCUGAUCGAGUCAGCAGCUAAAUGGUAUAAUCAAUUGAGUCGUGCUAAAAUCAAAUCAUGGAAAGACUUAGCACAAGCCUUCAUGAAGCAGUAUAGUCUUGUAACAGACAUGGCACCCGAUAGAAUUACCCUGCAAAAUAUGGAAAAGAAGCAAAAUGAGAGCUUCAGGCAAUAUGCUCAAAGAUGGAGAGAGGUAGCAACACAAGUCCAACCGCUUCUUCUGGAAAAAGAGAUUACGAUGCUUUUCAUCAAUAUUUUGAAGGCCCCAUUCAUUGACUAUAUGUUGGUAAGUGCUACUCUAAGUUUUUCAGAUAUAGUAGUAUCUGGUGAGAUGAUUGAAAGCGCGGCAAGAAAUGGACAGAUAGAUGUGGGAGAGAGCGUUAAACGGUCGACCCUAAUGAUCAAGGAAAAUAAAGUGAACAUCGUGAGCAUGCCUUCUAAAUUGGUCAACAUAGACCUGUUGAGGGUUGUAAUCACUAGUUAUCAAGGGGAAUUGGAAUGACUUAUCCAAAGAGAGGUCCAGGGAAUAAAAGUUUCCAAACCCUUAUGUACUUGGGAGUGUUUUAAACAAUGGGACUAUGGAAGAGAUCCUUGUAUUUUUAGAGUUGAUUUAGAGUAAUAUUCAAAACACGCUUGUUGCUUUAAGCCUAGGGGCAAUAAGAAUCCUUUUGUGAAAUAGGCUUGUGUCCAAAAUUUUUUAUUUCAAUAAAAUGCAUUAUUUUUGAAUAAAUAUUCUUUCAUUCUUUAUAUAUUCUUUUGUUCUUUGGACUAUUUUUUUUACAAUAUGCUUUCAUUCUUCAUUCAUGAUCAUACCAUACAAAUAAUUAUCCUUAGAAUAAUUUAUUUUUUGGAAUUUUCCUUUGUACCUACAAUAGGUCCCCAGAUAUCAAUGACAUGAGCAACGCUGUAACUGACUCCCUUUUGGGGUGAGAUAUGUGUUUAAGCGGAUCUCAGGACUUUGAAGAUGACAGAGAUUGUGAUUUAUUUUUUGAUUUGUUAAGGACGAUAGAAUAAGAUGAAAAGCAGAUCCCACUUUACGAAGGGUCAAUGGACACUGUGAGCAAGGGGCAAAGAUCGAAACCUGAGUCAUCACAAAGACAAAAUAAAUCAUCAUUGCGUUAUUCCAAGAAUUCGAAGAUGUUUUCGCAUGAUCAUGUCGAGAUAUACCUAAGAUAUUAGGAUCUGUGGAUGAUACAAAAUGUCUAUACAAUUCUAGAAGGACACAUGUUAAUGGUAGCCACGCUAAUCAUGAGGUUUGGGUAUUGAUAAUCCACCAUGGAAGGGGAUGGCAUUAGUUAAACUGUAUUUAGGGAGACAAGCCACAUUCAUUUCUUCACAGACUUUCUCUAUAUGGGGCAUGGAUGUUGUCAGGCCAUUCUCGUCUAAUACACAUUGAUUCAUCUUGGCAGUUAUUGAUUACUUCAUGAAGAGGGUGAAGGUUGCUUCAUAUGCCAAUAUUACAAGGUCAACAGUCAUCAAAUUCUAAAAAAAAAAAGGUUGUUGACAAGUAAUGUCAGAAAGGAUCACUUUCAAAUACAACUGCACAAUGUCAAAAGUUUGCAGUCUGUUCAAAGAUCAGACACCAUAUUACCGUGUAAUAAAGGCAUCUAAAAAGAAAAACAAAAGUUCAAAAAUAGAAAAGAAAAGGGAAAGCAGUGAAGCCAUAAAACAAAGGUCAUAGUGAAAGACGACCGAGCCUUGUAAGGAUUGGUAUAAAGAAGUUAUCAUUUACCCUCUACACUUAUCGAACGGGGGCCGGGACCUUCACCGGGGCAACACAUUGAUUUAUAGGACUGAAACAGUUUUUGAAAACGAGAUUUCUUUUCUUCGAGUCUUGGCAGAACUAAAGUUAGAUGAAUCGGAAUGGGUCCAAUCCUGAUAUGAUCAGUCAAAUUUAAAGGAUAUCCGUCAUAGUGAGAUGAUGCGGGUUUAUGACAGAAAGGUUUAUCCUUGAGAAUUCCAUAAGGGGAGCUUGAUAUUGAAGAAGAUCUUUCCUAUACAAAAGGACUUCAAAGGAAGAAAUAUGCCAAGCUAAGAGAGAUCUUAUGUAAAGGAGGCCUAUUUUGGAGGAGCAUUGAUAUUGACCAAAAAGAUUUGCCUAGUUCGGAGUUCAAAAUGCUGUCAAAGAGUAUUCUACCUAAAAUGGGAGAGGCCAAGGUGAAAACCCGCAAAGGUCACCUUGAGAACUUAAAAAAUAAAAAUAAAAAAAGAGAAAGAAAUAAAAAGAGAAAAUAAAAAAGAAAGAAAGAAAGAAUCAAUCAAAAAAAAAAGAAGAAAGAAAAGGAGAGGCCAAGGCGAAAACCCGCAAAGGGCGCUUUGAGACCAAAGGGGAUUUGAGUUGAAAACCCGAAAAAGGGCGGCUCAAAUUUGGAUCAAAAUGGGAUAUACAGUAGUCUUUCCAUACAUGAAUUAACAAUGAAGGAAGUAUGUUAUGUCUUGGGGAAUUGACAAAGUACUCCGGAUCCCCUAAACACAGAUUGAGCUCAGAAUGGUCCUCAAGAAGUUGGUAUAGAGAAGCUCAAGUUGCGAUAUCUGGAGCACCUAGCUUUUUAUUUUUACCCAUUUUUUUACUAUCUUUGAUUACCUGAUUCUUUUCAAGGCACAUCCAAGUAAAUUCCUUUCUUGAUUGCAUUUGCUUAUUUGUUUCGAGCUAUGUUCUCAAUUAAUUCCUUCCUUGUCCAUGGUUAUGAUCUUUUUUCAAGCAUUUUGCAUUGAAAUAACGAUUUCUGGGCUAAUAAUACUUUCAUAAAAGGAGUUUCGCAUAUUACUUUGGGAAGUUUCUAAAUAAUACAGGAGCUUGAAACUAGAUUAUUGUUUAAAACUCACCAAGCUUAAGGGUUGGAAAUAUUUAAGCCCAAAUUGAGAUUAUCUCUUUGGAUUUUCUAUCAAAGAUAUUAAUUGGUGUUAUAAUCCCGGCAAAGAACGAGUAAUGGGGUUAUUCUUGAGAAAAGAAAAAUGAUAUUCUAUAUUCCUACAGAUAUCAGACAUAUACGUCUGCUCAUUACACCCAGAGAAUGGUGUAACAGAUUCAAUUGAUUGAAGAUGAUGCAAAUCCUAUACCUCUGAGUUGCCACAGGAUGGAAGAAAUCAAAUGAUUAUUCCCCUGAGGUUGCAGUGGGAAGUUCAAACUUUAUGUCCCAGAAGUUACAGUGUAAGGGACUCUGAAAUUACAGUGGGGCAAGCUUGCUGAACAGAAUGUGAUUGUUUCUUUGGGUCUUCUGCAAAAAAUACCAGCCAAACAAGAUGGCAGCAUAAUAAAUUAGUGAUAGUGUUCUGAUGAACAACAAGCGAUGAUACCUUAAGCAUUUAAAAAAAAAGAGAUCAUUCAAAAAAAAGAUCAUUUUCAUUCAUAUAUCAUUCAUAACACGUUAGGAGCAUUUGAUUCAUUUCGAUCAUAGCAUCCUAAUUAUUUGACACCAGCAUCACAUCUAAUUAGGAGUAUUUGAUUCAUUUUGAUCAUAGCAUCCUAAUUAUUUGACAUAAGCAUCACAUCUAGUUAGGAGCAUUUGAUUCAUUUCGAUCAUAGCAUCCUAAUUAUUUAACAUCAGCAUCACAUCUAGUUAGGAGUAUUUGAUCGUAGCAUCCUAAUUAUUUGGGCAUAAACAUGAUACAUGAAAUCGAGUCUACAAGACAAGUCCAAGAGGAUGGUGUAGUAACAUCGGUGAAGUCAGACUUAUAUCCCUGAAGUUACAGUAGAGUAGGUUGAAGUGACAAGUCUUAUCUCUCUGAAGUUGCAGUGGAGCAGGCUCAAUAUACAAGUCUUAUCUUCCUAAGGUAGCAAGGAAGCAGAUUGAAGGUUGAAGAUCUUAUCUCCCUAGGAAAUAGUUGGGCAGAUCAAAGAUGGCGAAUCUUAUCUCCAUGUAUCGGCAAUGGAGCAGAUUUUAGCCACCAGCCUUAUCUUUCUGAAGUAGCAAGGGAGCAGGUUGGCGAUUGUAGUCUUAUCUUCUUGAGGUAGCAAGGAAGCAGACUGAAGAUUGAAUAUCUUAUCUCCAUGUACCGGUAAUGGAGCAGAUUUUAGCCAUUGACCUUAUCUCUCUGAGGUAGCAAGAGAGCAGGUUGAAGAUGAUAGUCUUAUCCUCUUGAGGCAGCAAGGAAGCAGACUGAAGAUUGCAGGUCUUAUUUCCCUAAGCAGUAGUGGAAUAAACCAAAGACGACAAAUCUUAUCUCCAUGUACCGGCAAUAGAGUAGAUUUAAGUCCCCAGCCUUAUCUCUCUGAAGUUGCAGUGGGGUAGGCUCGAUAUACAAGUCUCUAUCUCCCUGAGGUUGUAGUGGAGCAGACUGAAGAUUGGAGGCAAAUCUUAUCUUCAUGUAUCGACAAUGGAGCAGAUUUAAGCCCCAAGCCUUAUCUCUCUGAGGUAGCAAGAGAGCAGGUUGAAGAUUGAAGUCUUAUCGUCCUGAGGUAGCAAGGAAGCAGACUGAAUAUUGGAGGCAAAUCUUAUCUCCAUGUAUCGACAAUAGAGCAGAUUUAAGCCUGAAGCCUUAUCUCUCUGAGGUAGCAAGAGAGCAGGUUAAAGAUUGAGUCUUAUCUUUCUGAAGUAGUAAGAAAGCAGACUAAAGAUUGAAGAUCUUAUCUCCCCUAAGCAGUAGUGGAGCAGAUCGAAGAUGGCGAAUCUUAUCUCCAUGUACUGGCAAUGGAGCAGAUUUUAGCCACUAGCCUUAUCUCUCUGAAGUAGCAAGAGAGCAGGUUGGCGAUUUUAGUCUUAUCUUCCUGAGGUACCAAGGAAGUAGACUGAAGACUAAAGAUCUAUUUCCCUAAAGCAGUUGCGGAGCAGAUUGAGAAUAGCAAAUCUUAUCUCCAUGUAUUGGCAAUGGAACAGAUUUAAGUCAAUAGUCCUAUUUCCUUACAGUCAGAAUGCAGCAAAACCAAGCAAAAUUGGCCCUAUUUGAAGUCUUUGCUCUACUCUCAUUACACGACAAUGAGCAAAGAGGGGCAGCUGUAAUGGCUGAUUUUUUGCCGGGGCCCAUACAAAAACCAAAAAACAAAAUAAACCAAAAUUAAAGUCCAAUGUCCAUAAUACCCAAGCCCAAAAUCCAAAAUAACAAGACUCAACAAAAUAUGGCCCAAAUGACCCAAAAAAAACCCCCAAACCCUAGCCUGCUGCCUAGUGCAGACACCAGCAGCUUCCGCCCAGCCUCCAUGCUCCACAACGGCCUCCACGCUCACGAACGGUUUCCCCACGCCAUGCACACCUACAACAAACGAAAACCACAACAGCAAAUGACGGCAAACCGAAUUACAGCAAUCAAAUAGAGGAGAAAAAGGGAAAAAUUGUAAAUAUUAUAUUUCAUUUUUGGCUAUAAAAAGCCAUUGUAAAUAUUGAUUUUGAGGAUACACGGAUUGAAAAAAAAACAAUUAGAAUUGAAAAGGUGAUUCAAGUUUUCAGUUUUUUUUUUUAGUUUUCAGAUUUCGUUUUUUUAAUAUUUUUUCUCUUCUCUUCUUUUCUCUCAUAUUUCACAUGAAGAGAAUAAAGGAAAAGAGUACUUGCCUUUGGCCUUUGAUCGCAUCUCUUUUGCUCAUGGUCGGCCACCAAGUUUGAUGGUGGUUCAGCAGUGACUUUGAGAGCCCUAACAUUAGAGAUUUGAUUUGCUGUUUGCAAAAAUGGCAGUGCCAUUCAGUUUUUUUU